RNAcentral lists this ribosomal RNA (2121 nucleotides) under Triticum aestivum (bread wheat). Its description in RNAcentral is "partial small subunit ribosomal RNA". The record is from RNAcentral. Lineage: Eukaryota; Viridiplantae; Streptophyta; Magnoliopsida; Poales; Poaceae.
AUGUCGACUUCAGACAGCAGAGUCAGUGAUACAAGAAGCGCCCAAGACUCAUCCUCCAUUUCAACGGGCGGUAGCGCAGAACAACAAGGCUUGAGUAGCGCCAUAGAAAUAAUGGACAAACUAAAUGCUAUUCGUGCUGAGCUUGUUGAUGCCGAGGAGAAACAAUGUGCUGUUGAGGAACAACUUUUUGGCGAACCGAUUGCACCUGCUGCUGGCAGUGGCACUCCUUUUAUAGAGAAACCAUUUGGCACUGAAUGCGCACCUCGUCAAAAACGCUAUCUAACCAGUGCCGGAAUACCUCGACAUUUGUCUUCCAUUGUCGUCUCCAUUGCUUUGUUUGAUGGAGAAAAGAUGUUAUUUGCUUGCUCGGGCAUACCUCUACCGUACGGAAGAACUGCAUUACGGCUGACAAGAUUUGUGACCUCUGCACGUUUGGCUACUGCAUAUACCUCUAAUAGAAACAGAGAUGAUGAUUUGAGGGUCAAAGUGCGCCUUCCUGAUAACACUACUACCGGCGGGUUGUUGGGUCUAUAUGAUCAACAAAUUGCAAUUGUCACGACCGCGGACCUCCCAUCUCUCCAUGAAGUUGAUCUGAAUCCUCAGCAUCGAAAGCCCUCUUGUGGUGAUCCAAUACUAGCUGUCGGACGUGCCUUCACGUCAGGCAGUUUGAUGGCUGCGUCAGGCAGUUUGGCCGCACAUGAGUCUCAGAGUAGAAAGCCUUCCAUGUGGGUUUCUGAAGAUCCGUUGACAGAGGCUGUAUUUGGAGGGCCAAUUAUAGGAACUGGUGGUAGAUUUCUUGGGAUGAGCCUUCCUAUUGACGAUUCAGAUGAUUUUACUGGAAGAAAUGUCAUGUUCCUUCGAGGGGUGAUACUUCUUAAUCGCUUGAGGCAUUUUGGGAUACUCAAUCCUAAAAAACUCGACUUCCGUGGUUAUUCGUUGCCUUCAGAUGUAUUCUGUGCAAGCCCUUCAGGAUUUAGGAGAGAGAUUAACCGUCUGAAAUCUCUUGGCUAUCCCAUGGCACCACCACUUGUGCUUGAAUUCAAAGGGGAAUUGCUUAAUAGAUUUGAAGGAUAUUUUGGUGGUUUACUUGCUCUGGAAGGGUAUCCUUAUGAUGAUCCACCCUUUGUUCAUGAGAAUCGUGUCUGGGGGCAAUUUCCAAAUGAAGUUGUUUCUGAUAUAUCCCAACGUGUUGUCUCACUCAAAUCAUUCCGUGGACAUGUGAGGUAUUUUGCAUGCACAGGGUUGCUUAUAUGGUGGCCUGAAAGUAGUGGGGCAUGCUCUGUCAUUCUCACUUCAGCCAGUUUGGUUAGAGGUCAUGAUAAUGAGUACUAUAUUGAUAGCUUGAGGUGUGGUGAUUCUGGGGUUGGAUGUCAUGAUGAUGAUGACCAUAUUACGAACUUGAGGAUUGAGGUGUCUCUCCCACAAAAUAGGACCGUCACUGGGACAUUGGAAUGGUAUAACGUGGACUACAACAUAGCUAUUGUCAGUGUUGGGGAUUAUGUCUGUGCUUGUCGCCCAGAAAAUAUUUUUAAUGCGGUGCAGAUGCCAUCUCGAAAUGCUCUACCUACUUUGGGUCGAAGAAAAUUCCCUUCAUUGGUUGGAAAAGUAGUAGCCAUAGGGUUUAACACUCAAAAAAGAUUAUUAAUGGCCUCAAUGGGAGAAGUGAAGCAGAGAAACAAGGGCAUCAAACUUGACUCAGUUGGUGAAGUGAAGCGGAGAAGCAAGCGUAUCAAAUUACUUGGUGAAGUGAAGCAGCGAAACAAUGGUAGUAUCAAACUUGACUGCAGAUAUCUUAAACUGUCCACUUGUAAAAUCAACAAGGCUGGGAUUGGAGGGCCUCUUAUUAACUUGGGUGGGAGUUUUGUUGGUAUGAACUUCUAUGAUGGAAGUGAAGAAACUCCUUUCCUGCCAAGGAGUAAGAUUGUUGAAGUUCUGAAGAGAGUGGUUGGUCUCUCACUACCAUCAAGAUCAUUGAAUGGUCGUCCUGAGCACAUAGAAUAUGGUGCUCGAGGCAGGACAAGGAAAAAUAGGUGGCCUGUGCCCGAGCCAUAUUGGUACCAUGGUCUACUUGAGCUGGAUAUGUACCAUCUCCCGGAGUUUCGUGGAAGGACUCUGCUUUAG